Molecule: ribosomal RNA, 443 nt
Filed under: uncultured bacterium
Lineage: Bacteria
Description: partial 16S ribosomal RNA
Rfam family: Bacterial small subunit ribosomal RNA
Source: RNAcentral
CCUACGGGUGGCAGCAGUGGGGAAUAUUGGGCAAUGGGCGCAAGCCUGACCCAGCAACGCCGCGUGAAGGAAGAAGGCUCUCGGGUUGUAAAGCUCUUUUCUAAGGGAAGAAGAAAGUGACGGUACCUCAGGAAUAAGCCUCGGCUAACUACGUGCCAGCAGCCGCGGUAAUACGUAGGAGGCAAGCGUUAUCCGGAAUGACUGGGCGUAAAGGGUGCGUAGGUGGGUUGAUAAGUUGGUAGCGUAACUCCGAGGCUCAACCUCGGCACUACUACCAAUACUGUCGGACUUGAGUGCAGGGGGGGCAACUGGAAUUCGUGGUGUAGCGGUGGAAUGCGUAGAUAUUAGGAGGAACACCAGUGGCGAAGGCGAGUUGCUGGACUGUAACUGACACUGAGGCACGAAAGCGUGGGGAGCAAACAGGAUUAGAUACCCGGGUAGUC